GAUGAACGCUGGCGGCGUGCCUAAUACAUGCAAGUCGAACGCUGGAGAUCUAGCUUGCUAGAUCGAAGGAGUGGCGAACGGGUGAGUAAUACAUAAGCAACCUACCCACGAAGACUGGGAUAAUCUCUGGAAACGGGGACUAAUACCGGAUAGGUAAUCGGAAGGCAUCUUCUGGUUAUUAAAGGUUAAAAACACUGGUGGAUGGGCUUAUGGCGCAUUAGUUAGUUGGUGAGGUAACGGCCCACCAAGACGAUGAUGCGUAGCCGGCCUGAGAGGGUGAACGGCCACAUUGGGACUGAGAAACGGCCCAGACUCCUACGGGAGGCAGCAGUAGGGAAUUUUCGGCAAUGGGGGCAACCCUGACCGAGCAACGCCGCGUGAGUGAAGACGGCCUUCGGGUUGUAAAGCUCUGUUGUAAGGGAAGAACGGUAGAUAGAGAAUAUCUAAGUGACGGUACCUUACCAGAAAGCCACGGCUAACUACGUG
RNAcentral lists this ribosomal RNA (486 nucleotides) under uncultured bacterium. RNAcentral's name for it is "partial 16S ribosomal RNA". It matches the Rfam family "Bacterial small subunit ribosomal RNA", at positions 28 to 507 of the family's 1533-position model. The record is from RNAcentral.